This 447-nucleotide ribosomal RNA is filed under the name uncultured bacterium. Its description in RNAcentral is "partial 16S ribosomal RNA". It matches the Rfam family "Bacterial small subunit ribosomal RNA", at positions 28 to 523 of the family's 1533-position model. The record is from RNAcentral.
GAUGAACGCUGGCGGCAGGCCUAACACACGCAAGACGAGCGCCCCGCAAGGGGAGCGGCGCACGGGUGCCUAACGCGUGGGAAUAUGCCCUUGGGUGCGGAACAACGUCUGGAAACGGACGCUAAUACCGCAUAAUGACUCCGGUCCAAAGAUUUACCGCCCAAGGAUUAGCCCGCGUUGGAUUAGCUAGUUGGUGAGGUAACGGCUCACCAAGGCAACGAUCCAUAGCUGGUCUGAGAGGAUGAUCAGCCACACUGGAACUGAGACACGGUCCAGACUCCUACGGGAGGCAGCAGUGAGGAAUAUUGGACAAUGGGCGAAAGCCUGAUCCAGCCAUGCCGCGUGAGUGAUGAAGGCCUUCGGGUUGUAAAGCUCUUUCGGUUGUGAAGAUUAUGACGGUAGCAACAGAAGAAGCCCCGGCUAAAUUCGUGCCAGCCGCCGCCGUAA